RNAcentral lists this ribosomal RNA (497 nucleotides) under uncultured bacterium. RNAcentral's name for it is "partial 16S ribosomal RNA". It matches the Rfam family "Bacterial small subunit ribosomal RNA", at positions 28 to 507 of the family's 1533-position model. The record is from RNAcentral.
GAUGAACGCUGGCGGCGUGCCUAAUACAUGCAAGUCGAGCGAACGGACGAGAAGCUUGCUUCUCUGAUGUUAGCGGCGGACGGGUGAGUAACACGUGGAUAACCUACCUAUAAGACUGGGAUAACUUCGGGAAACCGUAGCUAAUACCGGAUAAUAUUUUGAACCGCAUGGUUCAAAAGUGAAAGACGGUCUUGCUUUCACUUAUAGAUGGAUCCGCGCUGCAUUAGCUAGUUGGUAAGGUAACGGCUUACCAAGGCAACGAUGCAUAGCCGACCUGAGAGGGUGAUCGGCCACACUGGAACUGAGACACGGUCCAGACUCCUACGGGAGGCAGCAGUAGGGAAUCUUCCGCAAUGGGCGAAAGCCUGACGGAGCAACGCCGCGUGAGUGAUGAAGGUCUUCGGAUCGUAAAACUCUGUUAUUAGGGAAGAACAUAUGUGUAAGUAACUGUGCACAUCUUGACGGUACCUAAUCAGAAAGCCACGGCUAACUACGUG